GCUUGGCUGGCUCAGUCAGUAGAGCAUGCAACUCUUGAUCUCAAGGCCAUGAGUUCAAGCCUCAAGUUGGGCC
This 73-nucleotide transfer RNA is filed under the name Mustela putorius furo (domestic ferret). It matches the Rfam family "tRNA". From Rfam's summary of the family: Transfer RNA (tRNA) molecules are approximately 80 nucleotides in length. Their secondary structure includes four short double-helical elements and three loops (D, anti-codon, and T loops). Further hydrogen bonds mediate the characteristic L-shaped molecular structure. tRNAs have two regions of fundamental functional importance: the anti-codon, which is responsible for specific mRNA codon recognition, and the 3' end, to which the tRNAs corresponding amino acid is attached (by aminoacyl-tRNA synthetases). tRNAs cope with the degeneracy of the genetic code in two manners: having more than one tRNA (with a specific anti-codon) for a particular amino acid; and 'wobble' base-pairing, i.e. permitting non-standard base-pairing at the 3rd anti-codon position. The record is from Rfam by way of RNAcentral. Lineage: Eukaryota; Metazoa; Chordata; Mammalia; Carnivora; Mustelidae.